This 497-nucleotide ribosomal RNA is filed under the name uncultured bacterium. RNAcentral's name for it is "partial 16S ribosomal RNA". It matches the Rfam family "Bacterial small subunit ribosomal RNA", at positions 28 to 507 of the family's 1533-position model. The record is from RNAcentral.
GAUGAACGCUGGCGGCGUGCCUAAUACAUGCAAGUCGAGCGAACAGACGAGGAGCUUGCUCCUCUGAUGUUAGCGGCGGACGGGUGAGUAACACGUGGAUAACCUACCUAUAAGACUGGGAUAACUUCGGGAAACCGGAGCUAAUACCGGAUAACAUGUUGAACCGCAUGGUUCAACAGUGAAAGACGGUUUUGCUGUCACUUAUAGAUGGAUCCGCGCCGCAUUAGCUAGUUGGUAAGGUAACGGCUUACCAAGGCAACGAUGCGUAGCCGACCUGAGAGGGUGAUCGGCCACACUGGAACUGAGACACGGUCCAGACUCCUACGGGAGGCAGCAGUAGGGAAUCUUCCGCGAUGGGCGAAAGCCUGACGGAGCAACGCCGCGUGAGUGAAGAAGGUCUUCGGAUCGUAAAACUCUGUUAUUAGGGAAGAACAAAUGUGUAAGUAACUAUGCACGUCUUGACGGUACCUAAUCAGAAAGCCACGGCUAACUACGUG